CUCUCGGAGGGUCUGCAGCCACAGUUGACACAGCUGCUCGUCGGCGCUCCAGAAGGUCACCCGUGCCCACUUCCAGCGGUGGUGUCGAGCUCGCUUCACACAGUGGACUGCACAGAAAACCAACACUGGAGGAAGAAUUUUAGCAACACAUGAAGGCGUGGAGAGCACUUUACACUCACGUUUACCCAGCCCAAAGAGUAAUUAAUUGCGAUCAGAGUUUAAGAAGAUGAGCCAGUCACUGGCUUUGAUAAGUACCCCGUCUUCAUGGAGGUAACUGGGGUGGGGCGUGGAGGGAAGGAGGAGGAGGGUUUGUGGGGUUGGCAAACACUGAGGCUCCCUCACCUGUGAAUGCAAACGGAUUUUCCAUUCUAUGCCAUCGGCCAUUGGAGGACUGUUUCUGGUGGACUUCUUUUUCCUCAACGGCGAUGAUCUCUGACACUGGUACCGAGUAGGCAUCUGCAAGGACACCACACUUAGAUCCAAGGAUCCAUCGGAGCUACACAGACAGAGGGCCGCAACGCCGAAGACUGCAGAUACUCAUUCCUACUCUCGUCAGAUACCCCAAACAGAAAGGAAGACUAGGGUUGACAAGAUGGCUCCUCGGGUAAAAGGGCCUGCCACCAAGCUUGAUGGCCUGCGUGGAAUCCUGGGAUCUGCAGGGUGGAAGGAGAAAACCAGCUUCUACCGGUUGUUCUCUAACUUCCCAAAGCACAUCAAGGCGUGCAGCCUCUCCCAAUAAAUGAACUGUGGUGUUUUCUUU
This is a non-coding RNA of Rattus norvegicus (Norway rat), 760 nucleotides long. NCBI's taxonomy places the organism in Eukaryota, Metazoa, Chordata, Mammalia, Rodentia, Muridae. The record is from RefSeq and is a predicted model, not a curated record.